RNAcentral lists this unclassified non-coding RNA (246 nucleotides) under uncultured fungus. Its description in RNAcentral is "sequence contains ITS1, 5.8S rRNA gene". The stretch from base 198 to 246 matches the Rfam family "5.8S ribosomal RNA", at positions 1 to 49 of the family's 154-position model. Lineage: Eukaryota; Fungi. The record is from RNAcentral.
UUUCCGUAGGUGAACCUGCGGAAGGAUCAUUAGUGAAAUUCGAGCGCUUCUUAAUUGAAGGCUCAACUUCCACUUUCUAACACCUGUGCACAAAUUGAGGUACUUGAAGAAAAUUGCUUUGUUGCGAUUAGUACUCUUUACCUUUCUUUUCACAAACUCUAAGUCUAAAGAAUGUUACAAAAUCAUAACAAAAGAAAAACUUUCAACAACGGAUCUCUUGGCUCUCGCAUCGAUGAAGAACGCAGC